RNAcentral lists this ribosomal RNA (771 nucleotides) under uncultured bacterium. Its description in RNAcentral is "bacterial SSU rRNA". It matches the Rfam family "Bacterial small subunit ribosomal RNA", at positions 8 to 796 of the family's 1533-position model. The record is from RNAcentral.
AGAGUUUGAUCCUGGCUCAGGACGAACGCUGGCGGCGUGCUUAACACAUGCAAGUCGAACGGAAAGGCCCUUCGGGGUACUCGAGUGGCGAACGGGUGAGUAACACGUGGGUGAUCUGCCCUGCACUUUGGGAUAAGCCUGGGAAACUGGGUCUAAUACCGAAUAUGACCAUGCACUUCCUGGUGUGUGGUGGAAAGCUUUUGCGGUGUGGGAUGGGCCCGCGGCCUAUCAGCUUGUUGGUGGGGUAAUGGCCUACCAAGGCGACGACGGGUAGCCGGCCUGAGAGGGUGACCGGCCACACUGGGACUGAGAUACGGCCCAGACUCCUACGGGAGGCAGCAGUGGGGAAUAUUGCACAAUGGGCGCAAGCCUGAUGCAGCGACGCCGCGUGAGGGAUGACGGCCUUCGGGUUGUAAACCUCUUUCAGCACAGACGAAGCGCAAGUGACAGUAUGUGCAGAAGAAGGACCGGCCAACUACGUGCCAGCAGCCGCGGUAAUACGUAGGGUCCGAGCGUUGUCCGGAAUUACUGGGCGUAAAGAGCUCGUAGGUGGUUUGUCGCGUUGUUCGUGAAAACUCACAGCUUAACUGUGGGCGUGCGGGCGAUACGGGCAGACUUGAGUACUGCAGGGGAGACUGGAAUUCCUGGUGUAGCGGUGGAAUGCGCAGAUAUCAGGAGGAACACCGGUGGCGAAGGCGGGUCUCUGGGCAGUAACUGACGCUGAGGAGCGAAAGCGUGGGGAGCGAACAGGAUUAGAUACCCUGGUAGUCC